GACGAACGCUGGCGGCGUGCCUAACACAUGCAAGUCGAACGGAGAAUUUUAUUUCGGUAGAAUUCUUAGUGGCGAACGGGUGAGUAACGCGUAGGCAACCUGCCCUUUAGACGGGGACAACAUUCCGAAAGGAGUGCUAAUACCGGAUGUGAUCAUCGUGCCGCAUGGCAGGAUGAAGAAAGAUGGCCUCUACAAGUAAGCUAUCGCUAAAGGAUGGGCCCGCAUCUGAUUAGCUAGUUGGUGAGAUAACAGCCCACCAAGGCGACGAUCAGUAGCCGACCUGAGAGGGUGAUCGGCCACAUUGGGACUGAGACACGGCCCAAACUCCUACGGGAGGCAGCAGUGGGGAAUAUUGCACAAUGGGCGAAAGCCUGAUGCAGCAACGCCGCGUGAAGGAUGAAGGGUUUCGGCUCGUAAACUUCUAUCAAUAGGGAAGAAAGAAAUGACGGUACCUAAAUAAGAAGCCCCGGCUAACUACGUGCCAGCAGCCGCGGUAAUACGUAGGGGGCAAGCGUUAUCCGGAAUUACUGGGUGUAAAGGGAGCGUAGGCGGCAUGGUAAGCCAGAUGUGAAAGCCUUGGGCUUAACCCGAGGAUUGCAUUUGGAACUAUCAAGCUAGAGUACAGGAGAGGAAAGCGGAAUUCCUAGUGUAGCGGUGAAAUGCGUAGAUAUUAGGAAGAACACCAGUGGCGAAGGCGGCUUUCUGGACUGAAACUGACGCUGAGGCUCGAAAGCGUGGGGAGCAAAAAGGAUUAGAUACCCUGGUCGUCCACGCCGUCCUCCUCUAAGGUGGGUGUCGGGGAGGAAUCCUCGGUGCCGCAGCUAACGCAAUAAAGCACUCCACCUGGGGAGUGCGACCGCAAGGUUGAAACUCAAAGGAAUUGACGGGGGGCCGCACAAGCGGUGGAGCAUGUGGUUUAAUUCGAAGCAACGCGAAAAACCUUACCAAGGCUUGACAUCCCGAUGACCGCUCUAGAGAUAGAGCUUCUCUUCGGAGCAUCGGUGACAGGUGGUGCAUGGUUGUCGUCAGCUCGUGUCGUGAGAUGUUGGGUUAAGUCCCGCAACGAGCGCAACCCUUAUCUUCAGUAGCCAUCAUUCAGUUGGGCACUCUGGAGAGACUGCCGUGGAUAACACGGAGGAAGGUGGGGAUGACGUCAAAUCAUCAUGCCCCUUAUGUCUUGGGCUACACACGUGCUACAAUGGCUGGUAACAAAGUGAGGCGAAACGACGACGUUAAGCAAAUCACAAAAACCCAGUCCCAGUUCGGAUUGUAGUCUGCAACUCGACUACAUGAAGCUGGAAUCGCUAGUAAUCGCGAAUCAGCAUGUCGCGGUGAAUAAAAUCCCGGGCCUUGCACA
This 1357-nucleotide ribosomal RNA is filed under the name uncultured bacterium. RNAcentral's name for it is "bacterial SSU rRNA". It matches the Rfam family "Bacterial small subunit ribosomal RNA", at positions 28 to 1387 of the family's 1533-position model. The record is from RNAcentral.